Molecule: long non-coding RNA, 166 nt
Organism: Manis pentadactyla (Chinese pangolin)
Lineage: Eukaryota; Metazoa; Chordata; Mammalia; Pholidota; Manidae
Exons: 2
Source: RefSeq, a predicted model, not a curated record
GUUUCCCUCAAGGCGGCGGCGAAGGUGGGAACGACGAUUGCUGGCGGGACCGGGUUGAGGAGGAGUAGACCUCUUCACGCGCGUUCGGGACGGACCGCCGCUACCUCCGGUGCUCGUGCGCGCGCUUCAGGGACUGGCCGCGGGUCACCAUCACCUGCUGAGCAGU